Molecule: ribosomal RNA, 472 nt
Filed under: uncultured Campylobacterota bacterium
Lineage: Bacteria; Pseudomonadati; Campylobacterota
Description: bacterial SSU rRNA
Rfam family: Bacterial small subunit ribosomal RNA
Source: RNAcentral
CCUAGCUUGCUAGGUGGAUUAGUGGCGCACGGGUGAGUAAUAUAUAGAUAACGUGCCUCUUAGUCUGGGAUAGCCAUUGGAAACGAUGAUUAAUACUAGAUAUUCCUUCUAACAAUAAUGUUAGUCGGGAAAGUUUUUCGCUAAGAGAUCGGUCUAUAUCCCAUCAGCUAGUUGGUAGUGUAAGAGACUACCAAGGCAAUGACGGGUAGCGGGUUUGAGAGGAUGAUCCGCCACACUGGUACUGAGACACGGACCAGACUCCUACGGGAGGCAGCAGUGAGGAAUAUUGCACAAUGGAGGAAACUCUGAUGCAGCAACGCCGCGUGGAGGAUGACGCAUUUCGGUGUGUAAACUCCUUUUAUAUGUCAAGAAAAUGACGGUAGCAUAUGAAUAAGCACCGGCUAACUCCGUGCCAGCAGCCGCGGUAAUACGGAGGGUGCAAGCGUUAUUCGGAAUCACUGGGCGUAAAGGA